RNAcentral lists this ribosomal RNA (119 nucleotides) under Oryzias latipes (Japanese medaka). The record is from RNAcentral. RNAcentral also lists the same sequence under 1 other name. Lineage: Eukaryota; Metazoa; Chordata; Actinopteri; Beloniformes; Adrianichthyidae.
GCUUACGGCCAUACCACCCUGAACACGCCCGAUCUCGUCCGAUCUCGAAAGCUAAGCAGGGUCGGGCCUGGUUAGUACUUGGAUGGGAGACCGCCUGGGAAUACCAGGUGCUGUAAGUU